This 446-nucleotide ribosomal RNA is filed under the name uncultured bacterium. Its description in RNAcentral is "bacterial SSU rRNA". It matches the Rfam family "Bacterial small subunit ribosomal RNA", at positions 335 to 800 of the family's 1533-position model. The record is from RNAcentral.
ACUCCUACGGGAGGCAGCAGUGGGAAUAUUGGACAAUGGGCGAAAGCCUGAUCCAGCCAUGCCGCGUGAGUGAUGAAGGCUCUAGGGUUGUAAAGCUCUUUCACCGGUGAAGAUAAUGACGGUAACCGGAGAAGAAGCCCCGGCUAACUUCGUGCCAGCAGCCGCGGUAAUACGAAGGGGCUAGCGUUGUUCGGAAUUACUGGGCGUAAAGCGCACGUAGGCGGAUCGGAAAGUUGGGGGUGAAAUCCCGGGGCUCAACCCCGGAACGGCCUCCAAAACUAUCGGUCUUGAGUUCGAGAGAGGUAAGUGGAAUUCCUAGUGUAGAGGUGAAAUUCGUAGAUAUUAGGAGGAACACCAGAGGCGAAGGCGGCUUACUGGACAGAUACUGACGCUGAGGCACGAAAGUGUGGGGAGCAAACAGGAUUAGAUACCCUGGUAGGUCAGUC